Non-coding RNA from Brachypodium distachyon (stiff brome), 139 nucleotides. The record is from Rfam. NCBI's taxonomy places the organism in Eukaryota, Viridiplantae, Streptophyta, Magnoliopsida, Poales, Poaceae.
AAAAUUGAUAAUGAUGAUUUGAUUUCUGUGAUCUUAGCAGGUCUAGACGCCGACUACAACCCGUUCGUCUCAUCCGUCUCCGGCAAGGUGGACGAACUUUCACUGAGCGAGAUCUAUGCUCAGUUCCUGGCGUUCGAGG